Molecule: transfer RNA, 74 nt
Filed under: Deltaproteobacteria bacterium
Lineage: Bacteria; Pseudomonadati; Myxococcota; Myxococcia
Also listed under: 1 other name
Description: tRNA-Arg
Rfam family: tRNA
About the family: Transfer RNA (tRNA) molecules are approximately 80 nucleotides in length.
Source: RNAcentral
GCGCCCGUAGCUCAAUUGGAUAGAGUGUUGGACUACGAAUCCAAAGGUUAGAGGUUCGAUCCCUCUCGGGCGCG